CACGUAGGCACCAAGCGUUGUCCGGAUUUAUUGGGCGUAAAGAGCUCGUAGGUGGUUCGGUAAGUCGGGUGUUAAACCCCCAGGCUCAACCUGGGGACGCCACUCGAUACUGCUGUGACUAGAGUCCGGUAGGGGAGCGUGGAAUUCCUGGUGUAGCGGUGAAAUGCGCAGAUAUCAGGAGGAACACCAGCGGCGAAGGCGGCGCUCUGGGCCGGUACUGACACUGAGGAGCGAAAGCGUGGUUAGCGAACAGG
This 254-nucleotide ribosomal RNA is filed under the name uncultured bacterium. Its description in RNAcentral is "partial 16S ribosomal RNA". It matches the Rfam family "Bacterial small subunit ribosomal RNA", at positions 524 to 776 of the family's 1533-position model. The record is from RNAcentral.